AUACCGGGCCUUUUUGGGCUUGGUAAUUGGAAUGAGGGAGAGUUAAACGGACCAUCGAGUAUCCAUUGGAGGGCAAGUCUGGUGCCAGCAGCUGCGGUAAUACCAGCUCCAAUAGCGUAUAUUAAAGUUGUUGCAGUUAAAAAGCUCGUAGUUGGACUUGUGUGCGCUGUCCGCGGGUGGCCUGCGCCCAAAAGGGCGUUUCGGUUCGGCCCCGGUGGCGCCUUGAAAUCUGCAGCUGGGGGGACGUUGGCCUUAACUGGUCGGCGACCGCACGCCGGCUGCUCGGUUACUGUGAGAAAAUUAGAGUGUUCAAGGCAGGCAUUGGGUCAAUUGAAUACAUUAGCAUGGAAUAAUAAAAUAUGGCUCCUGCCGUAUUUUGUUGGUUUUGACUGGUGGGAGUAAUGAUUGAUAGGGACGGUUGGGGGUGCUAGUAUUGGGCGGCCAGAGGUGAAAUUCAUGGAUUCGCUCAAGACUAACUUAUGCGAAAGCAUUCACCAAGGACGUCCUCUUUAAUCAAGAACGAAAGUUGGGGGAUCGUAGACGAUCAGAUACCGUCGUAGUCUCAACCAUAAACUAUGUCGACUUGGGAUCGGCGGUAGUUUUUUCAUUAAGACACUGUCGGGACCACGGGAGAAAUCAAAGUGUCUGGACUCUGGGGGAAGUAUGGUCGCAAGGCUGAAACUUGAAGGAAUUGACGGAAGGGCACCACCAGGAGUGGAGCCUGCGGCUUAAUUUGACCCAACACGGGGAAACUUACCAGGUCCAGAGAUGUAGAGGAUUGACAGAUUGAAGCUCUUUCUUGAUCACUUCGGUGGUGGUGCAUGGCCGUUCUUAGUUGGUGGAGUGAUUUGUCUGGUUAAUUCCGUUAACGAACGAGACCUCAGCCUGCUAGUGUAGUCGGCUGGAUUGCCUUUGGCGAUCCGUGAUUUCGACUUCUUAGAGGGACAAUCGACGCGCAGUCGAUGGAAGUUUGAGGCAAUAACAGGUCUGUGAUGCCCUUAGAUGUUCUGGGCCGCACGCGCGCUACACUGCUGGGCUCAGCGAGUUUUACUUGGCCGAGAGGCCCGGUUAAUCUUGUGAAAUCCCAGCGUGCUUGGGCUCGCCUCCUGCAACUGGAGGCGCCAACGAGGAAUUCCUAGUAGACGCAGGUCAUCAACCUGCAUCGAUUACGUCCCUGCCCCUUUGUACACACCGCCCGUCGUUCCAUAAGAGUGAGGCAUCCGGUGAAUUCUCGGGAGAGCCUGGGCGUGGCCAGCAAUGGUCUGCUCGGGUUUGAACUUGCAUAAACUUGGUGCCUAUGAUUAGGG
RNAcentral lists this ribosomal RNA (1307 nucleotides) under metagenome. RNAcentral's name for it is "SSU rRNA". It matches the Rfam family "Eukaryotic small subunit ribosomal RNA", at positions 483 to 1783 of the family's 1831-position model. The record is from RNAcentral.